This 303-nucleotide ribosomal RNA is filed under the name Triticum aestivum (bread wheat). RNAcentral's name for it is "partial small subunit ribosomal RNA". The record is from RNAcentral. Lineage: Eukaryota; Viridiplantae; Streptophyta; Magnoliopsida; Poales; Poaceae.
AUGCUGAAGGACACCGGAUGGGUGCGCAGCUACAGAGCGUUGCAACAUGUAUGGCUGGGUCAAACCAAGGCGACUAAGCUCCGGGAGAAGCGUUCUCCAGCUCGGGAGACGAAGGUGACCACCUUAUCGCCACAACGUGAACAAGGGAUCAGCGGGAGCACCUCGUCGGGCUGCGAGGAAGAGGAGGACGCCGCCAUUGUUUCCGAUCUGGUUGUCCCCGGAGAAGAUGAAGAGGACAAGGGAAGGAGGAGAGCAGAGGUAGCAGAAGGAUCUUGGAGUGGAAGGAUGCAGGGAUUAGAAUAA